RNAcentral lists this long non-coding RNA (1095 nucleotides) under Medicago truncatula (barrel medic). Its description in RNAcentral is "long non-coding RNA (MTRU_LNC005297)". Lineage: Eukaryota; Viridiplantae; Streptophyta; Magnoliopsida; Fabales; Fabaceae. The record is from RNAcentral.
UACUGUCCUGGUCAUCUAAAGAAACAGCGCUCAGCAGCUGCUACAAGCACAUAACAGCAGCAUAGCUGCAGCAUCCCAUACCUGGCAGUAACAGCCCCCAAAAACACCAACCAAACACUCCAUGUUACUUUCAAAAUGAGAAAAAAGAUUAUUGCAAGGAUUUAAUCAUGAUUACUUUUCUAUGAUAUUUUGUAUUACUUAAUCUCAGACAAGAUUACCUACUAACUUAUUAUUUCUAAAACAUUCUACUAUUGCCAACGCAUAAAUCCAAAGCCUAGACAUAUGAUGUGUUUUCAUCUCUUCAUUGUAUGUUAGUCAUCAUACAUUGAAAGUAUUUUAUUUCUAUCCUUAUCUACACAAGGUGUUUUCUCUUAUAUCAAUACCAUGACAUCAGAAAGUUUUUCUAUAUAUAACAGUUUGUUCAAAUUAAUUAUUUAUAGAUUAAGCUUACUUAUUUGACACUUAAUGUUUAAGCUUUUUAAACAAAAGUCAUAGAGACAAGACAACUUUUAACUAGCCAAACCAUUAAGUAAAAUUCUUGGUAAACCCUUAGAGUUGUGACACGUAAAAUCUAUAUAUAGUUCAAGACACCUCAUAUCUUAUAGUGAUUUUAUAGUUCAAUACAUACGAGCCACAUGCUGAUUCAUAUGUGCUACACACUUAGUAGCAAGUAAUUGAGGCUGCAACUAACAAUAAGAAAACCAAUUAGAAGCAAAUGAAAAGGCAAAUAAGAUAAAAUUGGGAUGGUAACAACGAUCUCAGCAAAGGAAAUUACAUCAGGGUGCUCAAUUACAAACGCAUGCUUUGUCAUUCUAUUUUUAUGCUCUUUUAAACUACAAAACAAUCAUUCAAAGCAUUCCACCUUUAGUAAAUUCCGAGUUGACAACAACACAUUAGUAAACCUAGGAAAAGGAGUUCGUAAGUUCAUACAUGGUCUGCAAAAUAGUUGUAUUCCAAGGAUCAAGUUCCCGACAAAUAACUCAGGAAUGACACUUGUAAUAUUCAUCGCAUGGACCUUGUUUUACCAAACCAUUAAUACUCUUCAUUAGUGUAUAAAAAUUAGGAAUUAAUUUGAUAUUAAAAAAAUGAUAUCAA